This is a long non-coding RNA of Brassica napus (rape), 1680 nucleotides long. RefSeq lists it as uncharacterized. The record is from RefSeq and is a predicted model, not a curated record. The transcript has 5 exons. Lineage: Eukaryota; Viridiplantae; Streptophyta; Magnoliopsida; Brassicales; Brassicaceae.
UCUUUUUCCAAACAGAAUGUUCGUCUCCCUUGACUCCGACUCUUCCAACUCUCAGAUUUCGCUUGGUUUCCAUUGAGAUGUUAUCCUUCCACCUUCCAACGUUUCUCCUCUUGGAAAGCGAUGGGUCUCUUGCUAAUUACCCUCACGACAGCACCUUAUAUAUACCUUCUUCAGCUAAUAUGUUCUUCACAAGAUUCGUCAACUAUAUGGCUUCCAUGCAACCAAGCGAGAUCUGGAUGCUUUCAAUCAACACUGUCAAGUCAAAACAAGGCUACGCUUACGAGAUGAAGUCAGCAUAGAAAAUAGUAGUGAAGGAGCUGAGGUAGAUCGCUGAGGACAAUCAACAGCUAAACUGGUUUAAGAACCAGCUGACAAAAUAGAACAAGCACGCCUAGGCCCUUGAGGAAUCUCUGGGAAUUUUGAGCAAGAAGCUGCAUAAGAUAACCGUGUUGUGAGAAAGAGAACAAAAAUGCAGCAUGAGCAGAGCAUAGAAGAGAUGGAUUCACAAGAAAUGUUUUCCAAAGACUCAGUCAGACAAAUACAUGAGAAAAGAGACACUAAGUAAGAGAAUUUUGGGAUGAUGCAGCAGCAGGAGCGUGCUAAAGUUGUUGAUUUGCGCAACUGGUACUUACAGAAAUCCUGCCUUUCUGGUGAAACACAAAGAGUAACAAGAGAAAAGAGUUUGUGGAGGAGAGGGAGUAUCCGAUUCAAGAGCAGGAGAAGAAGAUGGUAGAGAGGAAAACAGGAUGUUUCAAAGAGAUGGUUGAUCUAUAUAGUGAAUUCGAUGUCUUUGGAGCUGUCCAUGAGCAAGAACGGCCAUUACUUCCCAUUUUUUCAGCCCAAUGCUUGAUUUCUUUCUUUCACCUUUUCAGUUCAAUCUUGAAGAAUUAGAAGCUGGACUUUCUGAAAUCAAUGCUAAUAAUGACAAGCUGCAGCACUUUUACAAUAAACUUGUGGAGUAUAAACUUCUUUUUGACAAGUCAGAAGUACUACCGCUCAACAGAGUGAGACAGAAUCACAGCAACUGGGUGAAAACACCCUCGAGGCUCUUUUUAUGCAGGAAAUAUGAAAUCUGCGAUUGUUUUACUUCUUCAAGUUGUGUUUUCUGCAAAUAGUUUUACAAGCUGCUUUUUUUAACAGGAGCAGUCUGUUGAUCCAACAGAGCAAGUAAAGCUGGGAUUUCUCAAUGGGCUGGUGCCACGCGAAAGUCUAUGGUGUUCGAGACCUAUUUCUGAAAUUAAUAGUUACUGUGUGUUUUUUUGGUUCCUGCAGCUGAGCAAAACUAUUCGCCACAUCUCAAGACAACUUCAAUGGGGAUAGUGAUAUAUCCAGCAGGUUUGAUGAUUCUCUUUAGAUAUUUCUAAGACGAAUACAAGAAUCCAGAGAUUUACAUUAUGGAGAAUGGAAAGUACGGAGUCAAGCGAAAGGCUGUUGGUAUCUGGGGAUGCAAGGACUUCGGCAAGGCCGGUGGUGCCUACACCAUGAACACCGCCAGUGCUGUCACCGUUAGAAUCACAAUCAGGAGGUUGAGAGAGCAGAUCGUUAAUAUCGCUUUUUUGCUUUUUUUGUAAUAGUUUUGGUUUCUCUGUUUUUAACAAUUGUGAUGUCGAGAACUACUAUGCUUUUUAUUCAAGACGCUAUUGCAUUAGACUUGAAUCAAUGUUUUUAUUCGAGUUUUGA